This 521-nucleotide ribosomal RNA is filed under the name Zhangixalus chenfui (Chinese whipping frog). RNAcentral's name for it is "partial 16S ribosomal RNA". It matches the Rfam family "Bacterial large subunit ribosomal RNA", at positions 1850 to 2588 of the family's 2925-position model. Lineage: Eukaryota; Metazoa; Chordata; Amphibia; Anura; Rhacophoridae. The record is from RNAcentral.
AGGUCUAGCCUGCCCAGUGAAAUAUUUAACGGCCGCGGUACCCUGACCGUGCGAAGGUAGCAUAAUCACUUGUUCUUUAAAUAGGGACUAGUAUCAACGGCACCACGAGGAUUACACUGUCUCCUUUCUCCAAUCAGUGAAACUGAUCUUCCCGUGAAGAAGCGGGGAUAUAACUAUAAGACGAGAAGACCCCAUGGAGCUUUAAAUUUCACAGCAACUGAGUCAAAUAAACCCUUAUAAGUCACAGAACUAUGCAUAACAAUUUUAGGUUGGGGUGACCGCGGAGUAAAAAUUAACCUCCACGACGAAUAGAACUAAACCUUUAUCCAAGAGCCACAACUCUAAGAAUUAGCACACUAACGAUUAAUGACCCGAUAAUCGAUCAACGGACCAAGUUACCCUGGGGAUAACAGCGCAAUCUACUUCAAGAGUCCAUAUCGACAAGUAGGCUUACGACCUCGAUGUUGGAUCAGGGUAUCCUAGUGGUGCAGCCGCUACUAAUGGUUCGUUUGUUCAACGAU